GCUGUCGGGGAUGAUGAGAUGAUCUCGUUCAUCCUCAAUGGCUUGGACUCUGACUACAACUCCCUGGUUUCCUCUGUCAUAGGGAGGCUCGACAUGACACUGAGUGAUCUCUACGCUCAGAUUGUGGCCUUUGACA
Molecule: small nucleolar RNA, 136 nt
Filed under: Setaria italica (foxtail millet)
Lineage: Eukaryota; Viridiplantae; Streptophyta; Magnoliopsida; Poales; Poaceae
Also listed under: 1 other name
Description: Small nucleolar RNA Z247
Rfam family: Small nucleolar RNA Z247
About the family: Z247 is a member of the C/D class of snoRNA which contain the C (UGAUGA) and D (CUGA) box motifs. Most of the members of the box C/D family function in directing site-specific 2'-O-methylation of substrate RNAs.
Source: Rfam by way of RNAcentral